This 382-nucleotide ribosomal RNA is filed under the name uncultured bacterium. Its description in RNAcentral is "bacterial SSU rRNA". It matches the Rfam family "Bacterial small subunit ribosomal RNA", at positions 43 to 426 of the family's 1533-position model. The record is from RNAcentral.
CAGGCCUAACACAUGCAAGUCGAGCGGAGAUGAGGUGCUUGCACCUUAUCUUAGCGGCGGACGGGUGAGUAAUGCUUAGGAAUCUGCCUAUUAGUGGGGGACAACAUUUCGAAAGGAAUGCUAAUACCGCGUACGCCCUACGGGGGAAAGCAGGGGAUCUUCGGACCUUGCGCUAAUAGAUGAGCCUAAGUCGGAUUAGCCAGUUGGUGGGGUAAAGGCCUACCAAGGCGACGAUCUGUAGCGGGUCUGAGAGGAUGAUCCGCCACACUGGGACUGAGACACGGCCCAGACUCCUACGGGAGGCAGCAGUGGGGAAUAUUGGACAAUGGGGGUGAACCCUGAUCCAGCCAUGCCGCGUGUGUGAAGAAGGCCUUUUGGUUGU